UCCAAAGAGACGAUCUAUGUAUUCUUCGAAGACUUGUAUUGGUGAGCGCCACGUUGGAGUUCAGAACUUAAUUGAACGGGUUCCUGGUCUUCAAGCCUUGUUUGAGAACGGCGGUCUUUAUGCGAUUAGCGAUUUUCCCGAACAAUCUGGAUAUUGUUUGGAAUUAAUUCGGGAAUUCUAUAUGCGAGCGGGAUAUUUGGAAGAUUCUGAUGGUGGACCGUUCAUCUUUAAGACCAAAGUGCGUGGCAUCGAGUUGACAAUUAUG
RNAcentral lists this long non-coding RNA (265 nucleotides) under Ananas comosus (pineapple). RNAcentral's name for it is "long non-coding RNA (ACOM_LNC037782)". Lineage: Eukaryota; Viridiplantae; Streptophyta; Magnoliopsida; Poales; Bromeliaceae. The record is from RNAcentral.